This 563-nucleotide ribosomal RNA is filed under the name uncultured bacterium. RNAcentral describes it as "partial 16S ribosomal RNA". It matches the Rfam family "Bacterial small subunit ribosomal RNA", at positions 355 to 1375 of the family's 1533-position model. The record is from RNAcentral.
UGGGGAAUAUUGCACAAUGGGCGAAAGCCUGAUGCAGCAACGCCGCGUGAGUGAUGAAGGCCUUCGGGUUGUAAAGCUCUGUCUUUUGGGACGAUAAUGACGGUACCAAAGGAGGAAGCCACGGCUAACUACGUGCCAGCAGCCGCGGUAAUACGUAGGUGGCAAGCGUUGUCCGGAUUUACUGGGCGUAAAGGAUGCGUAGGCGGAUUUUUAAGUGAGAUGUGAAAACCCUAAGCUUAACUUGGGGACUGCAUUUCAUACUGGAAAUCUAGAGUGCGGGAGAGGAGAAUGGAAUUCCUAGUGUAGCGGUGAAAUGCGUAGAGAUUAGGAAGAACACCAGUGGCGAAGGCGAUUCUCUGGACCGUAACUGACGCUGAGGCAUGAAAAGCGUGGGUAGCAAACAGGGUUAGAUACCCUGGUAGUCCACGCCGUAAACGAUGAGUACUAGGUGUAGGAGGUAUCGACCCCUUCUGUGCCGCAGUUAACACAAUAAGUACUCCGCCUGGGAAGUACGAUCGCAAGAUUAAAACUCAAAGGAAUUGACGGGGUCAUAGCUGUUUCCU